Molecule: ribosomal RNA, 497 nt
Filed under: uncultured bacterium
Lineage: Bacteria
Description: partial 16S ribosomal RNA
Rfam family: Bacterial small subunit ribosomal RNA
Source: RNAcentral
GAUGAACGCUGGCGGCGUGCCUAAUACAUGCAAGUCGAGCGAACGGACGAGAAGCUUGCUUCUCUGAUGUUAGCGGCGGACGGGUGAGUAACACGUGGAUAACCUACCUAUAAGACUGGGAUAACUUCGGGAAACCGGAGCUAAUACCGGAUGAUAUUUUGAACCGCAUGGUUCAAAAGUGAAAGACGGUCUUGCUGUCACUUAUAGAUGGAUCCGCGCUGCAUUAGCUAGUUGGUAAGGUAACGGCUUACCAAGGCAACGAUGCAUUGCCGACCUGAGAGGGUGAUCGGCCACACUGGAACUGAGACACGGUCCAGACUCCUACGGGAGGCAGCAGUAGGGAAUCUUCCGCAAUGGGCGAAAGCCUGACGGAGCAACGCCGCGUGAGUGAUGAAGGUCUUCGGAUCGUAAAACUCUGUUAUUAGGGAAGAACAUAUGUGUAAGUAACUGUGCACAUCUUGACGGUACCUAAUCAGAAAGCCACGGCUAACUACGUA